RNAcentral lists this ribosomal RNA (467 nucleotides) under uncultured bacterium. Its description in RNAcentral is "bacterial SSU rRNA". It matches the Rfam family "Bacterial small subunit ribosomal RNA", at positions 355 to 825 of the family's 1533-position model. The record is from RNAcentral.
UAAGGAAUAUUGGUCAAUGGAGGCAACUCUGAACCAGCCAUGCCGCGUGCAGGAAGAAGGCCCUAUGGGUCGUAAACUGCUUUUGAACAAGAGAAAACCCCGGUACGUGUACUGGGUUGAUAGUAUUGUUAGAAUAAGCAUCGGCUAACUUCGUGCCAGCAGCCGCGGUAAGACGAAGGAUGCAAGCGUUAUCCGGAUUCAUUGGGUUUAAAGGGUGCGUAGGCGGACUGAUAAGUCAGUGGUGAAAUCUCUCGGCUUAACCGAGAAACUGCCAUUGAUACUGUUAGUCUAGAGUACAGAUGAUGUGGGCGGAAUAUGACAUGUAGUGGUGAAAUACUUAGAUAUGUCAUAGAACACCGAUUGCGAAGGCAGCUCACAAAACUGUAACUGACGCUGAGGCACGAAAGUGCGGGGAUCAAACAGGAUUAGAUACCCUAGUAGUCCCUGAGCGGGCUGGCAAGGCGCAU